Molecule: ribosomal RNA, 544 nt
Filed under: uncultured bacterium
Lineage: Bacteria
Description: bacterial SSU rRNA
Rfam family: Bacterial small subunit ribosomal RNA
Source: RNAcentral
ACUCAAAGGAAUUGACGGGGGCCCGCACAAGCGGUGGAGCAUGUGGUUUAAUUCGACGCAACGCGAAGAACCUUACCUGGGCUUGAACUGUGGUGGACCGCGGCAGAGAUGUCGUUUUUCGCAAGAACCGCCAUAGAGGUGCUGCAUGGCUGUCGUCAGCUCGUGUCGUGAGAUGUUGGGUUAAGUCCCGCAACGAGCGCAACCCUUACCCUUAGUUGCCAGCGAGUCAAGUCGGGAACUCUAAGGGGACCGCCCGGGUUAACCGGGAGGAAGGUGGGGAUGAUGUCAAGUCCUCAUGGCCCUUAUGUCCAGGGCUACACACGUGCUACAAUGGGCGAUACAAACCGUCGCGAUCUCGCAAGAAGGAGCUAAUCGGAGAAAGUCGCCCUCAGUUCGGAUUGCGGUCUGCAACUCGACCGCAUGAAGGUGGAAUCGCUAGUAAUCGUGUAUCAGAAUGAUACGGUGAAUACGUUCCCGGGCCUUGUACACACCGCCCGUCACAUCACGAAAGCCGGGAGCACUUGAAGAGGCUGAGGUAACCGCA